Long non-coding RNA from Phalaenopsis equestris, 676 nucleotides. RefSeq lists it as uncharacterized. The transcript is spliced from 3 exons. NCBI's taxonomy places the organism in Eukaryota, Viridiplantae, Streptophyta, Magnoliopsida, Asparagales, Orchidaceae. The record is from RefSeq and is a predicted model, not a curated record.
GUGACUUCCCCUCUGAUGCAUAAAAAGAACCACGUACUCCCCCUUUCAAUUUCUUCCCACCAGAGUCGUUCUCUCCUCAACCUUAAAGCCGCUACUUCCUCGGCAUUUUCAUCCUCAUGAGCUUCUUUCUGGGAUAGCGCAGCUAAGCCAAACGACGAACUUAAAAAUUUCGUUAAUAGAAAUCGAAGCCGGAAAGGAGCCCCGUCCUGCAUUGCUUCGCGCGUUAGGGUGAGUAAUUCCUCUCGUGCCCUCCCUACUCCCCCUCGCCCUCCCCCAUCUUGCCUUCUUCACCCUCGCGGAGGUCGACACAAAUGAGGUAACAUUCGACUGCUUUCCCUCGCCCUCGCCUCCCUGAAUUCGGGUAUCACGUUCGCCGUUGAGCUUCGUUUUAUCGCCACCUGCUUUCUCUUUCCAUUGGAGCCGCUUACCUGUCUUUCAUCCUCACCUUGAAACUUAACCCUAGUUGUUAUUCACAACAUUCAAAACGUUCACGCACACUCUCCUGCGCUUCGUUGUCUGCAAGCUCUGGAUCUGAGGCUUGGAAAAUUUUGAGGCGAAGUGAUUUCUCAAAGCGAGGAUUUGGGGCUCGAAUACGCUUAUUGAAUCGGCAGUUUCCGAGUUUUCUUCCGCUAACUGCGCAUCAAGUGUCGUUUCACCAAACAGGGGCAAAAUGGUC